RNAcentral lists this ribosomal RNA (602 nucleotides) under Leptotrombidium deliense. Its description in RNAcentral is "12S rRNA". The record is from RNAcentral. Lineage: Eukaryota; Metazoa; Arthropoda; Arachnida; Trombidiformes; Trombiculidae.
AAAUGAACCAUGAGAAAAAUGAAAACUCAGGUCUUAAAAUUAUUAAUUUACAGAGAUAAUAACAUUUCUCUCAAAUGGCGUGCCAGCAGUCUCGGUUAUACGAUUAGAAUAUAAAAUAUAUUUUUUCUUCAUCUAAAAUAAAAUGAAAAAGUUUAAUAAUCAAAGUGAAAUUUUAAAAUUUUCUAAUUAAAAAAUGAAGAAAAACAUAACACGAAGAAAAAGGAUUAGAUACCCUUCUACUAAACUCCAAUGGUAAUAAAUGAAAUCCAUCAAACCUAAAAGAAUUGGCGGUCUUUUACCCAUUCAGGGGGAUUUGUCUCUUAAAUCGAUAGCCCCCGUUUCAUAAACGCCCAUUUUCUUAAUUUGUAUAUCGCCGAAAAUUAGAAAAAAAAAUCUAACCUUCAGGUAAAAUACAAUUCAUAAAAGGGAGAAGAUUAAUCACAUAAAAGACCUUUCGUUAAACACUAAUAAAAUAAGGACCUGCAAGUAAACUUCUUAUAAAAUAAGAAGUUUAAAAGGCAAUCAAAGAUGUACAUAUCGCCCGUCACCCUAAAAUUUAGGUAAGUCGUAACAAAGUAGAAGUUUCGGAAGAAGCCUCUUUU